RNAcentral lists this ribosomal RNA (497 nucleotides) under uncultured bacterium. Its description in RNAcentral is "partial 16S ribosomal RNA". It matches the Rfam family "Bacterial small subunit ribosomal RNA", at positions 28 to 507 of the family's 1533-position model. The record is from RNAcentral.
GAUGAACGCUGGCGGCGUGCCUAAUACAUGCAAGUCGAGCGAACAGACGAGGAGCUUGCUCCUCUGACGUUAGCGGCGGACGGGUGAGUAACACGUGGAUAACCUACCUAUAAGACUGGGAUAACUUCGGGAAACCGGAGCUAAUACCGGAUAAUAUAUUGAACCGCAUGGUUCAAUAGUGAAAGACGGUUUUGCUGUCACUUAUAGAUGGAUCCGCGCCGCAUUAGCUAGUUGGUAAGGUAACGGCUUACCAAGGCAACGAUGCGUAGCCGACCUGAGAGGUGGAUCGGCCACACUGGAACUGAGACACGGUCCAUACUCCUACGGGAGGCAGCAGUAGGGAAUCUUCCGCAAUGGGCGAAAGCCUGACGGAGCAACGCCGCGUGAGUGAUGAAGGUCUUCGGAUCGUAAAACUCUGUUAUUAGGGAAGAACAAAUGUGUAAGUAACUAUGCACGUCUUGACGGUACCUAAUCAGAAAGCCACGGCUAACUACGUG